UACGUAGGGGGCGAGCGUUGUCCGGAUUUAUUGGGCGUAAAGAGCGUGUAGGCGGCCCGCUUAGUCCGCUGUGAAAGUCCAGGGCUCAACCCUGGAAUGCCGGUGGAUACUGUCGGGCUAGAGUCCGGAAGGGGCGAGUGGAAUUCCUGGUGUAGCGGUGAAAUGCGCAGAUAUCAGGAAGAACACCUAUGGCGAAGGCAGCUCUCUGGGACGGUACUGACGCUGAGACGCGAAAGCGUGGGGAGCGAACAGG
This 253-nucleotide ribosomal RNA is filed under the name uncultured bacterium. Its description in RNAcentral is "partial 16S ribosomal RNA". It matches the Rfam family "Bacterial small subunit ribosomal RNA", at positions 524 to 776 of the family's 1533-position model. The record is from RNAcentral.